CCGUCCUGGCCCCGGCACCGUGCGCUCGGCUCUCUGUGGCACCAGAGCCGUGCCAGGAGGGCCACGGAGCGCGUGUGUCGCUGUGUGGACGUAUUUGGCUG
Molecule: microRNA precursor, 101 nt
Organism: Equus caballus (horse)
Lineage: Eukaryota; Metazoa; Chordata; Mammalia; Perissodactyla; Equidae
Source: Ensembl